This 492-nucleotide ribosomal RNA is filed under the name uncultured bacterium. RNAcentral's name for it is "partial 16S ribosomal RNA". It matches the Rfam family "Bacterial small subunit ribosomal RNA", at positions 29 to 507 of the family's 1533-position model. The record is from RNAcentral.
AGUGAACGCUGGCGGUAGGCCUAACACAUGCAAGUCGAACGGCAGCACAGUAAGAGCUUGCUCUUACGGGUGGCGAGUGGCGGACGGGUGAGGCAUACAUCGGAAUCUACUUUUUCGUGGGGGAUAUCGUAGGGAAACUUACGCUAAUACCGCAUACGACCUACGGGUGAAAUCAAGGGAUCUUCGGACCUUGCGCGAUUGAAUUAGCCGAUGUCGGAUUAGCUAGUCGGCUGGGUAAAGGCCCACCAAGGCGACGAUCCGUAGCUGGUCUGAGAGGAUGAUCAGCCACACUGGAACUGAGACACGGUCCAGACUCCUACGGGAGGCAGCAGUGGGGAAUAUUGGACAAUGGGCGCAAGCCUGAUGCAGCCAUGCCGCGUGGGUGAAGAAGGCCUUCGGGUUGUAAAGCCCUUUUGUUGGGAAAGAAAAGCAGCAGGUGAAUAUCCCGCUGUUCUGACGGUACCCAAAGAAUAAGCACCGGCUAACUUCGUG